UACGUAGGGCGCAAGCGUUAUCCGGAAUUAUUGGGCGUAAAGAGCUCGUAGGCGGUUUGUCGCGUCUGCCGUGAAAGUCCGGGCUUAACUCCGGAUCUGCGGUGGGUACGGGCAGACUAGAGUGAUGUAGGGGAGACUGGAAUUCCUGGUGUAGCGGUGAAAUGCGCAGAUAUCAGGAGGAACACCGAUGGCGAAGGCAGUCUCUGGGCAUUAACUGACGCUGAGGAGCGAAAGUGUGGGGAGCGAACAGG
Molecule: ribosomal RNA, 251 nt
Filed under: uncultured bacterium
Lineage: Bacteria
Description: partial 16S ribosomal RNA
Rfam family: Bacterial small subunit ribosomal RNA
Source: RNAcentral